RNAcentral lists this ribosomal RNA (611 nucleotides) under Desmoscolecidae sp. 98_6-1000_T. RNAcentral describes it as "eukaryotic LSU rRNA". It matches the Rfam family "Eukaryotic large subunit ribosomal RNA", at positions 404 to 901 of the family's 3401-position model. Lineage: Eukaryota; Metazoa; Nematoda; Chromadorea; Desmoscolecida; Desmoscolecidae. The record is from RNAcentral.
ACCGCUUAGAAGGAAGCAUGAGGUGCUAUGGUAAUCUGGUGGAAUUCAAUAGGCAUGAAGGAAGCCCUUCCUUUGGCCUGUGCUUUUUCUAUCAGUGAGCAUUGAGAGUAAUGCUGAUGGAGCUGCUUACAGUCRUAGGGAACCAUCAGCAGAUGGACCUUUGCUUCUGUUUAUGACUUUAUCGAGUAUUGCUGAUAAUCUCCCCUUUAUGCUCGAUGAUGGCUGAGUCUCUUAUCGUCGGUCAAUGCUGAGAGUUCUCGGCUUUGAUUGGGGGUAGGCCAGGAGGCUAAUCAUUGUGUCGGAGAUGUCUCGGUGUCAACGUUGGCUUACCUCAUGACCCGUCUUGAAACACGGACCAAGGAGUCUAACAUGUGCGCGAGUAACUGGGUGUAAAACCCAAGUGCGAAAUGAAAGUGAAGGUCGGCUAUGUCGGCUGAUACACGAUCUGUCCAAUCUGGAUGGAGCAGUGUAGUCCCAUCCCGAUUCCUUGUGAAUGGGGUGGAGACAGAGCGUAUUUGUUGGGACCCGAAAGAUGGUGAACUAUGCCUGAACAGGAUGAAGCCAGAGGAAACUCUGGUGGAAGUCCGAAGCGGUUCUGACGUGCAAAUCGA